Molecule: ribosomal RNA, 253 nt
Filed under: uncultured bacterium
Lineage: Bacteria
Description: partial 16S ribosomal RNA
Rfam family: Bacterial small subunit ribosomal RNA
Source: RNAcentral
UACGGAGGGGACUAGCGUUGCUCGGAAUCACUGGGCGUAAAGCGCACGUAGGCGGAUUGCUAAGUCAGGGGUGAAAUCCUGGAGCUCAACUCCAGAACUGCCUUUGAUACUGGCAACCUUGAGUCCGGGAGAGGUGAGUGGAACUGCGAGUGUAGAGGUGAAAUUCGUAGAUAUUCGCAAGAACACCAGUGGCGAAGGCGGCUCACUGGCCCGGUACUGACGCUGAGGUGCGAAAGCGUGGGGAGCAAACAGG